ACUUGUAUGCUAGCUCAGGUAG
This 22-nucleotide microRNA is filed under the name Pan troglodytes (chimpanzee). RNAcentral's name for it is "ptr-miR-643". Its record names the gene ptr-miR-643. Lineage: Eukaryota; Metazoa; Chordata; Mammalia; Primates; Hominidae. The record is from miRBase by way of RNAcentral. RNAcentral also lists the same sequence under 1 other name.